GUGCUUAGCACAUAGUAAAUACAGCACAUAUACUAAAAUUGGAACGAUACAGAGAAGAUUAGCAUUGCCCCUGUGCAAGGAUGACAUGCAAAUUCGUGAAGCGUUCCAUAUUUUU
This 115-nucleotide small nuclear RNA is filed under the name Ornithorhynchus anatinus (platypus). Lineage: Eukaryota; Metazoa; Chordata; Mammalia; Monotremata; Ornithorhynchidae. The record is from RNAcentral.